This is a long non-coding RNA of Esox lucius (northern pike), 2503 nucleotides long. NCBI's taxonomy places the organism in Eukaryota, Metazoa, Chordata, Actinopteri, Esociformes, Esocidae. The record is from Ensembl.
GGAAGGGAGACAGUAAGAUAAGCGGGAGAGCAAGACAGAGACAGAUGGAGAGAGAGAGAGAGAGAGAGAGAGAGAGAGGGAGAAAGAGCAGGGGGACAGAGGGAGAAGAGGGGAACAGACAGAGAGACAGAGAGAGAGGAGGGACACACUGAGAGAGGAGGGCGACAGAGAAAGAGGAAGGGGACAGAGAAAGAGGAAGGAGAGACAUUGAGAGAGGAGGGAGAAGACGGAGACAGGAAGUCAGUGAGACUGGAAGUCAGUGAGACAGGAAGUCAGUAAGCGCCAGAGGACUUUGACAACCAUGGCGAAGACGGUCCCAUAGUGACCAAAGAGAGUCAGGACCCACGUUCCAACAUCCCAUUCGGAAAAAAACGGCACCCUGUGUAGGGCAGUGUUGGGAUUUUUAAGACCCGAGGGAAGAGAGCCCCCAAGCUGGCCCUCCAACACCACAUCCAGCUGUAACUAGUCUUCCAACCAGAAACCAAGAGUGAACCUGCUAAGCUUAGGAGUGUGAGCUCAGCCUCUUCAAAUAGACGGUUGGAUCCAAUUGCUGAAAUUCCUAACAAAGAACAGUAGUGCAACGAAACCACUACAGACCGCUUAUUCUCAGAUUCCCCUAGUCACAACCAGAAUCAUGAUUCAUCAGUGUCUGGAGUCAUGAAACCUUUUACACACAACGGGCAUUUGAGACUAUAUAUACACAGACCCAGCAACUAAAACAUUCGCUCAUACUCUAUAUCCGCAUUUUAGCACACGGAGGCCUUUUAUCUCCGAUGCAUUAUUUAAUCCAGCCUCAUGCCGCUGUAUGUUACGCUACUCUUGAACAAUGUUCCCUAGGGGGUCUCCCAGCCAUCUCGAAUCUCUCAGAGUCCGCCUGGAUGAUCAGAGAGGAGUUAUGGGCUUGAGGAGGAACUUUUUAUCUGCCGCGGCAGCGCUGUCCCUGCGGAGUUUCAACUCUAACCCCUCUCCCGUCUCAUUACGGUCCAAAGUUACCCUGCCAGACACACUCAGCUCUCAGGGCCACACAAGAGACGACUUCAGAUGGUGGACUUUUAAGUGCUGUCCCUGUGGAGUUUCAACUCUAACCGCGCUUUCAUCACAGUCCAAAGUUACCCAGCUACACGCACUUAACUCUCAAGGAGACAAACUCAGAUGGCGGACUUAAAUGGCACGUGCGUGUGUGCGAGCGUGUGCGUGUCACGCGUUAGAGGGACAGCUAGUCAACGCUGACCCUACAGUGUGCGUUGCUAUUCCUGCCAACUCGGCUCUGCCAUUUUGAGUGACUGACAGCUGGUAAGAUAUGUUGUUUCUUUCCGUACCGGGGUAGCUUGCUUUAACAUUGCGCGGCCGUUAGAAUGCAUGAGGGUAGUAAUUACAGCUGUCAGCUGUAAUUGCUACGGUGGCGUGGUUCGGGAAGAUACCAGGCCAAGUUCCUGGUGGCCUGAGAGCUACAGACGGGAUUCCGUCACAUCGUGUCUGCACAGAACUGACACAGACUUAAUUGCAUGAGAUAAUUGUGUGACUCACUGAGGUAGACUGGAUGUGUGUGUGUGUGUGUGUGUGUGUUUGAGUGAAAAUGCACACACACACACACACAGGUUCAGAGCAGUUCUGCUCAGUCUUCUGUUCCAGAAACAGCAGACAUACCAAGAGUGACUCUGGAGGUCAAGGAUAAAUUAUUUGGUGAUACAUUUUUGUUAAAGGUGAAGCGGUCCAAAGGGUUAACACUUCUAGCGUUUUGCUUUCUUGAAAUGGCAAACGUCAAGCGAAAGUGGCCACAGUCACAUGUUGAAAACACUGUCCAAGCCAAUUAUAAAGACCAAAAAGAAACAAAAGGCCUGGUAUCCUUGGCAACAGAGGUGGCUGUUACUAUCCCUAGAUAGUAUUUAAUACACCAAGAAACAACCAGAUUUUUCUUGAGUCUCUCUCUGUGUGUGUGUGAGAGCUUGCAUGUGUCUGUGUGUGUGUGUGUGUGUGUGUGUGUAUGUGUGUGUGUGUGUGAGAGAGUGUGCAUGCGUGUGUGUGUGCUGUAUCAUGUGAAGUUUGCCUUCCAUCCACUUAACGGUAUUUGAUAAGUCAGUGCCCUCAGUCUGUCAAUGGAAAAAUGUGGCUGGUUGCACAGGCUAUUCAUCUUUCAAGCAGUGAUUCACAGCCUCCCAGUGACCUCAUAGGAGGUCUAAAACAACCCACUUCACAGGCAGCCAAGGACUCAGUCCACCGCUCAUACCCACUCUGCCCCCCCCAUAGCCUGGGGUGGAAAAGUGAGACCCAACCGGCUGGAGCCAUUUCCAGACUGCUUUAGAAACGUGGGAAGGCAUUGCUGAGAAUCGAGGUCCGAGAAUGUUUCCUUGCGACAGUUGUGCUUCAAAAUGAUCUACAAAAACAAAACAGUUAGGGCGGACACACGGUCACCGAAUUGCCUUGUCGAUUUAAGAUAUUUUCUAACACUGCUUACGCGUCUGUACAGCAUUUCACUUGAGUGAACUCCGGCUGAGUGAAACUG